RNAcentral lists this ribosomal RNA (464 nucleotides) under uncultured bacterium. Its description in RNAcentral is "partial 16S ribosomal RNA". It matches the Rfam family "Bacterial small subunit ribosomal RNA", at positions 338 to 795 of the family's 1533-position model. The record is from RNAcentral.
CCUACGGGAGGCUGCAGUAGGGAAUCUUCCACAAUGGGCGAAAGCCUGAUGGAGCAACGCCGCGUGGGUGAAGAAGGUCUUCGGAUCGUAAAACCCUGUUGUUAGAGAAGAAAGUGCGUGAGAGUAACUGUUCACGUUUCGACGGUAUCUAACCAGAAAGCCACGGCUAACUACGUGCCAGCAGCCGCGGUAAUACGUAGGUGGCAAGCGUUAUCCGGAUUUAUUGGGCGUAAAGGGAACGCAGGCGGUCUUUUAAGUCUGAUGUGAAAGCCUUCGGCUUAACCGGAGUAGUGCAUUGGAAACUGGGAGACGUGAGGGCAGAAGAGGAGAGUGGAACUCCAUGUGUAGCGGUGAAAUGCGUAGAUAUAUGGAAGAACACCAGUGCGAAAGCGGCUCUCUGGUCUGUAACUGACGCUGAGGUUCGAAAGCGUGGGUAGCAAACAGGAUUAGAUACCCUGGUAGUC